This 370-nucleotide ribosomal RNA is filed under the name uncultured Glomeromycotina. RNAcentral describes it as "partial large subunit ribosomal RNA". The record is from RNAcentral. Lineage: Eukaryota; Fungi; Glomeromycota.
UUGAAAGGGAAACGAUUGAAGUCAGUCGUACCGGCGGGUAAUCAGCCUUUUGGGUGUGAUUAUGUGGAGCGUGAGGAGUUAAUCACCUUCAUCUUUGCAUAUUCGUGCACUUUGGGUGUACUUGCUCGUGUGGUAGGUUAACAUCAAUUUUGGUCGUCAUAAAAUGGUUGGAGGAAUGUAGCUUCGAUCUCGUAUUGAAGUGUUAUAGCCUUCGGCAGAUGUGAUGAUUGGGAUUGAGGAUUGCAACGAACCUUUCGGGGCUACCUGUCUGAUCUCUGAAAGUUGCUCUGGUGCUGAAAGCUUGCUUAUGGUAUCAAAGUUGACGUUCAAUAGGUUAGAACGGGAUAAAUUCGUUAAGGAUGUUGACGUA